RNAcentral lists this ribosomal RNA (254 nucleotides) under uncultured bacterium. RNAcentral's name for it is "partial 16S ribosomal RNA". It matches the Rfam family "Bacterial small subunit ribosomal RNA", at positions 524 to 776 of the family's 1533-position model. The record is from RNAcentral.
GACGAACCGUGCGAACGUCGUUCGGAAUCACUGGGCUUAAAGGGCGCGUAGGCGGGCUGCCAAGUCCGUAGGUGAAAUCCCCCGGCUCAACCGGGGAACGGCCUCGGAUACUGGCGGCCUGGAGGGGGGUAGGGGCGUGCGGAACUGUGGGUGGAGCGGUGAAAUGCGUUGAGAUCCACAGGAACUCCGGUGGCGAAGGCGGCACGCUGGACCCUUUCUGACGCUGAGGCGCGAAAGCCAGGGGAGCGAACGGG